GUGCUCACUUUGGCAGCACAUAUACUAAAA
RNAcentral lists this small nuclear RNA (30 nucleotides) under Cervus elaphus hippelaphus. Lineage: Eukaryota; Metazoa; Chordata; Mammalia; Artiodactyla; Cervidae. The record is from RNAcentral.